Molecule: ribosomal RNA, 364 nt
Filed under: gut metagenome
Description: bacterial SSU rRNA
Rfam family: Bacterial small subunit ribosomal RNA
Source: RNAcentral
AGAGUUUGAUCCUGGCUCAGGAUGAACGCUGGCGGCGUGCUUAACACAUGCAAGUCGAACGGGGAACAUUUUAUUGAAGCUUCGGCAGAUUUAGCUUGUUUCUAGUGGCGGACGGGUGAGUAACGCGUGGGUAACCUGCCUCACACUGGGGGAUAACAGUCAGAAAUGGCUGCUAAUACCGCAUAAGCGCACAGCAUCGCAUGAUGCCGUGUGAAAAACUCCGGUGGUGUGAGAUGGACCCGCGUUGGAUUAGCUAGUUGGCAGGGCAACGGCCUACCAAGGCGACGAUCCAUAGCCGGCCUGAGAGGGUGAACGGCCACAUUGGGACUGAGACACGGCCCAGACUCCUACGGGAGGCAGCAGU